GAUGAAGAAGUAGCGAAAUGCGAUAAGUAAUGUGAAUUGCAGAAUUCAGUGAAUCAUCGAAUCUUUGAACGCACAUUGCGCCCGGCAGUACUCUGCCGGGCAUGCCUGUUCGAGCGUCAUUUCAACCCUCAAGCCCUGCUUGGUGUUGGGGUCCCACGGCCGCCGUGGGCCCUGAAAGGAAGUGGCGGGCUCGCUACAACUCCGAGCGUAGUAAUUCAUUAUCUCGCUUAGGGCGUUGGGCGGCGCUCCUGCCGUUAAAGAACCAUCUUUAACUCAAGGUUGACCUCGGAUCAGGUAGGAAUACCCGCUGAACUUAAGCAUAUCAAUAAGCGGAGGA
RNAcentral lists this unclassified non-coding RNA (337 nucleotides) under soil metagenome. Its description in RNAcentral is "partial contains 5.8S ribosomal RNA, internal transcribed spacer 2, and large subunit ribosomal RNA". The stretch from base 1 to 119 matches the Rfam family "5.8S ribosomal RNA", at positions 35 to 154 of the family's 154-position model. The record is from RNAcentral.